RNAcentral lists this ribosomal RNA (490 nucleotides) under uncultured bacterium. RNAcentral's name for it is "partial 16S ribosomal RNA". It matches the Rfam family "Bacterial small subunit ribosomal RNA", at positions 29 to 507 of the family's 1533-position model. The record is from RNAcentral.
AGUGAACGCUGGCGGUAGGCCUAACACAUGCAAGUCGAACGGCAGCACAGGAGAGCUUGCUCUCUGGGUGGCGAGUGGCGGACGGGUGAGGAAUACAUCGGAAUCUGCCCAGUCGUGGGGGAUAACGUAGGGAAACUUACGCUAAUACCGCAUACGACCUUCGGGUGAAAGAGGGGGAUCGCAAGACCUCUCGCGAUUGGCUGAUCCGAUGUCGGAUUAGCUAGUUGGCGGGGUAAUGGCCCACCAAGGCGACGAUCCGUAGCUGGUCUGAGAGGAUGAUCAGCCACACUGGAACUGAGACACGGUCCAGACUCCUACGGGAGGCAGCAGUGGGGAAUAUUGGACAAUGGGCGCAAGCCUGAUCCAGCCAUACCGCGUGGGUGAAGAAGGCCUUCGGGUUGUAAAGCCCUUUUGUUGGGAAAGAAAUCUUUCAGGCUAAUACCCUGGGAGGAUGACGGUACCCAAAGAAUAAGCACCGGCUAACUUCGUG